AUUGAACGCUGGCGGCAGGCCUAACACAUGCAAGUCGAGCGAGCGGCGGACGGGGGAGAAAUGUCUGGGAAACUGCCUGAUGGAGGGGGAUAACAACUGGAAACGGUAGCUAUUACCGCAUACCAUCAGAUGUGCCCAGGGGGGAUUAGCUAGAAGGUGGGGUAACGGCUCACCAAGGCGACGAUCCCUCGCUGGUCUGAGAGGAUGACCAGCCACACUGGAACUGAGACACGGUCCAGACUCCUACGGGAGGCAGCAGUGGGGAAUAUUGCACAAUGGGCGCAAGCCUGAUGCAGCCAUGCCGCGUGUAUGAAGAAGGCCUUCGGGUUGUAAAGCACUUUCAGCGGGGAGGCGUUACCCGCAGAAGAAGCACCGGCUAACUCCGUGCCAGCAGCCGCGGUAAUUC
Molecule: ribosomal RNA, 406 nt
Filed under: uncultured bacterium
Lineage: Bacteria
Description: partial 16S ribosomal RNA
Rfam family: Bacterial small subunit ribosomal RNA
Source: RNAcentral